Molecule: ribosomal RNA, 483 nt
Filed under: uncultured bacterium
Lineage: Bacteria
Description: bacterial SSU rRNA
Rfam family: Bacterial small subunit ribosomal RNA
Source: RNAcentral
GAUGAACGCUGGCGGCGCGCCUAACACAUGCAAGUCGAACGAAGCACUUGAAGUUUUCGGAUGGAAAGUGACUGAGUGGCGGACGGGUGAGUAACGCGUGGAUAACCUGCCUCAUACAGGGGGAUAACAGUUAGAAAUGACUGCUAAUACCGCAUAAGCGCACAGUACCGCAUGAUACAGUGUGAAAAACUGAGGUGGCAUACGAUGGACCCGCGUCUGAUUAGCUGGUUGGUGAGGUAACGGCUCACCAAGGCGACGAUCAGUAGCCGGCCUGAGAGGGUGAACGGCCACAUUGGGACUGAGACACGGCCCAAACUCCUACGGGAGGCAGCAGUGGGGAAUAUUGCACAAUGGGGGAAACCCUGAUGCAGCGACGCCGCGUGAGUGAAGAAGUAUUUCGGUAUGUAAAGCUCUAUCAGCAGGGAANAAAUGACGGUACCUGACUAAGAAGCCCCGGCUAAACUACGUGCCAGCAGCCGACGG